Molecule: ribosomal RNA, 400 nt
Filed under: uncultured bacterium
Lineage: Bacteria
Description: bacterial SSU rRNA
Rfam family: Bacterial small subunit ribosomal RNA
Source: RNAcentral
AUUGAACGCUGGCGGCGUGCCUAACACAUGCAAGUCGAGCGGUAACAGGUGUAGCAAUACAUGCUGACGAGCGGCGGACGGGUGAGUAACGCUUGGGAAUCUGCCUAUUAGUGGGGGACAACCCGGGGAAACUCGGGCUAAUACCGCAUACGCUCUACGGAGGAAAGCCGGGGACCGCAAGGCCUGGCGCUAAUAGAUGAGCCCAAGUCGGAUUAGCUAGUUGGUAGGGUAAUGGCCUACCAAGGCGACGAUCCGUAACUGGUCUGAGAGGACGACCAGUCACACCGGAACUGAGACACGGUCCGGACUCCUACGGGAGGCAGCAGUGGGGAAUAUUGGACAAUGGGCGAAAGCCUGAUCCAGCGACGCCGCGUGGGUGAAGAAGGCCUGCGGGUUGUAA